Long non-coding RNA from Talpa occidentalis (Iberian mole), 221 nucleotides. RefSeq lists it as uncharacterized. Lineage: Eukaryota; Metazoa; Chordata; Mammalia; Eulipotyphla; Talpidae. The transcript has 3 exons. The record is from RefSeq and is a predicted model, not a curated record.
GAAGCCUACUGUCCACUGGUCAAAGGGCUGAUGAACCUUCGCAAUUAUUAGUGAAAUCCAUGUCCAGAAGACUUUGAGGGGACUAUGAGGUGGAGAUGUGGUUGCAAAUGUUGUUAAAUGAUCAGAACACAUGUGGGAGAGCAGAGAGCUGUCCAGCCAAGGAGGACAUGAGACAUGCAUGGAAAGCAGGGAGAUGAGAUGGAUUUGAAAACCAUAACCUG